Molecule: ribosomal RNA, 495 nt
Filed under: uncultured bacterium
Lineage: Bacteria
Description: partial 16S ribosomal RNA
Rfam family: Bacterial small subunit ribosomal RNA
Source: RNAcentral
GACGAACGCUGGCGGCGUGCCUAACACAUGCAAGUCGAACGGCAAAGCAGUAGCUUGCUUCUCUGGAUGAGUGGCGAACGGGUGAGUAACGCGUAGGUAACCUGCCCGGUAGUGGGGGAUAACUUUAGGAAACGAUAGCUAAUACCGCAUAGUAGUAGAUGUUGCAUGACAUUGGCUUAAAAGUUGCACCUGCAUCGCUUCCAGAUGGGGCUGCUGUGUUUUAGCUUGUUGGUGGGGUAAAGCCGCACCAAGGCAACGAUACAUAGCCGGACUGAGACGGGGGUCAGCCACACUGGGACUGAGACCCGGCCCAGGCGCCCUCAGGAAGCAGCAAGAGGGAAACUUCGGCCAUGGGCGGAAAUCUGACCGCACAGCGCCGCGUGAGGGAAGAAGGUCGUCGGGUCGGAAAGGUCUGUUGUAGGGGAAGAACGAGUGUGAGAGUGGGAAGUUCACACUGUGACGGUAUCUGACCAAAAAGCAACGGCUAACUACGUG